GUAUAAAUACAAUUUAGAAUUAUCUAAAAUUUGAAUUAUAAAUUAAAUAUUAUAUCGAAAAGAGUUUAUUUACAAAUAUAGUUUAGCUUACAGGUAAAUAACAUGUUUUAUAGUUUAAAGAUCAAAAGAUAUAAGAGUAAAACAUAAAAAUGACUUAAAUCUAGCCGCGCAAAUGCGCGGGCCAAACUGCUAGUUAACUUUAAAUUUAAGAUUAAAAAUUUAAAUUUUAAAAGCAAAAGCAAAAGAGAAAAGAUAUGAGCCCUGGUUUUUGUCUGUAAUACCUCGGUUAUCAACAAAUCCGCUGAAGAAAGGCUGGCCGUUUUGAGCCUCAUGAUCAAAUAGUUGUGUUAGAUUCGAUGACAAGAAUGAUAAACCAAGAAAUUAACGGUGUAUUGAAUAGCAAAUCCCACAGAAAAAACGGAGAUUGCUAAAAUGUACCCGAAGUCAGAGAUAUUUACAGGUGUUGAUAUUAACGUGCCCGAAGUAAACGUACAAAGAUUUUUACAAGCAAAGGGACGGCGAACACCAACGCGAGGCCGGGG
This 542-nucleotide long non-coding RNA is filed under the name Oryza brachyantha (malo sina). RNAcentral describes it as "long non-coding RNA (OBRA_LNC001480)". The record is from RNAcentral. Lineage: Eukaryota; Viridiplantae; Streptophyta; Magnoliopsida; Poales; Poaceae.